This 1260-nucleotide long non-coding RNA is filed under the name Numida meleagris (helmeted guineafowl). Its description in RNAcentral is "lncRNA (ENSNMEG00000008710.1)". Lineage: Eukaryota; Metazoa; Chordata; Aves; Galliformes; Numididae. The record is from RNAcentral.
AUGGCUUCGCUGGAGCAGAUGGUGAGUAUGCUGAAGGGCAUAGGGCUGCAGGUGGAGUGCCCUGUGCAUAAGAAGGACCUCCUCCUGCUCUUCCGAUGGAAGAUGCGGGUGGAGAUCGGGGAGGACCCUUCUCAAUGGUUGAGUAGGGGCGCCCUGGAGCAGGUGGGUCAGGAGCUGUUUCAGCGUGCGUGCGCAGGGAACAAGGAAGCUCUGAGUUUCCUGCCCUCACUAGGCUCGCUCCAGAGCCUUUUCACAAAGGUGAAGCAAUGUCGGGAGGUUUGGCAAACGGCAGAUGUCCUGAUGCGGCCGGUGGAGGUGGAGGCAGGGGCAGCCAUAGAGGCGAGGGAGUGGGCUGAGUUGAUUGGGAAAAAACAGGGCGAAGAAAAACAGGAGGGCAAGGCUGGGGAAGAAACUGGGGAACAGCGAGCGACUAGUCUGCCACUGGCGGAGAAGGAAGAGAAGGCGGAGGAAAAGGGGAGCCCAGAGCCCUUGUGGGCGGCGCCGAUGAUGGGCCCCGGGGUGGUCCCAGCCGCGAUGUCGCGGUGGGGUCACGCAGGAGGGGCGGGUUGGGGCUAUGGAACUGCGGGUCCCGUGUGGUUCCCAGAGCAGGAGGAUCAGUUUUCUGGUGUGGCGAGGACUCCGCUAUUUACAGUUCCCCUGCUGUACUGGGAAGAGGGGUGGAACAGCGUGGGCGGAAAGGUGGAUUUGAAAAGUGCCAUUUUUGAUAUGUUGGCAAACGAAGAGGACGACGGGUCCAAGGCAGAAGGAGGGGGAGUGGCCGUGCGGCAGGAGCCCACAGACGGCUUGCUCAGUGAGGUGCGCCAACUGGCCGCACGGGUGGAGCAGCUUUUGGAGACGCAGGGAAAGGAGCAGCGUGGCACUGAGGUCGUGACGGAGCAGGACUUGGAGAGGGGGAGAUGGACUGUCCGGGCUGGAGAGUGUGUGCUGCAGGACUGCACGGUGAGGGCGGAGGACGGGCCGGGACGAUUGCUGUAUGCGGUCCUGGUGCAUGAUGGGGGUGUGGAUGGACAGCACAGGACGUGGCAGCCAAUAGAUUACAAGCUGCUCAUGCAUCUGGAAAAGGCAGUGGCUGAGGAAGGUGGAGUUCCAGGCUUCUGCUGCCUCGACUGGGAAAAGAAAGCUAUGACCGCAAUACAACGAGCAAAAGCAGCAGUGCAAAAGCUAUUGGACAGUACGCUCAAGGAUCGUAUCAGUACAUACUGGUGGGGCAGUUUGGGACAAAGUUGGAAUAAGACAUAA